Molecule: long non-coding RNA, 833 nt
Filed under: Junco hyemalis (dark-eyed junco)
Lineage: Eukaryota; Metazoa; Chordata; Aves; Passeriformes; Passerellidae
Description: lncRNA (ENSJHYG00000007331.1)
Source: RNAcentral
CCUGAGCUAGAUGAAGGAGUUUCAGACCUAGGGGUGAACGACACAUGGCUGGUUGGAGCUUGCUGGGCUAGAGCUGGGACAGAGCAUCUUCCUGUGUUGGGUUGUGCAUCUCCAUCCAACAUCUCUCACUGGGCAGAUGCAGCAUGAAAUCAUUGUCUUGAGGGUGAUGAGGAAAAGUAAGAGAGGAAGGGGGACAUGCAUUAACCAUGGGGUUGUUGCCCCAUGUUGUGCCACUUUUGACCUGGGAGUUCAGAGACAUUUAGUUCUCCUUGUGUUUCCUUGCUGGUCUGGGAACAAGCAUGCAUGGAAAGAGAUGGGGACAGAAAAGCAGGGUGAGAAACCAAAGCUGAGAGCUCCUGCUCCCACCACAGCCAGUUCUGACCAGCCAGACCAGAGCUCCACUGGAGAAGGACAAUGCAAAACUUUGGCUUUCUCUCUCCAAACCAGCAGGCAUGAGGCUGCUCCAGCAUGGAUGUGUUGCAGAUGUGCUGAUAGCAGUGAGCUGAGUGCUGACACUGCUGUGGAGGGGCUGCAGGAAGCAAAAUGUUGCCCUCCGCUGUUUGCAGCGUUGCUGGAACAGAGAACUCGCUGCGUCCGAGCCAGUCCAGUGCUUUACUCCAGUGUCACAUCCCUGGCACUGGUCAGGGGAUUUGGAGAGAGACGACUCCCACCCAGCCCACAGAUGCUGCAAAGACCUGAAAAAGGUCCCAUCACCCUCCCUGAGCCACCAGGAGUGACAUCCUUCCACUCUUAGGGAGAACCUUUGGAACCACCCUCACCAGAGACCACAGUGGACAAAAUAAAACCUUUAAAGGCUCAAGGUAGUUAAUACA